GCAGUCGAACGAUGAAGCCGCUUCGGUGGUGGAUUAGUGGCGAACGGGUGAGUAACACGUGGGCAAUCUGCCCUUCACUCUGGGACAAGCCCUGGAAACGGGGUCUAAUACCGGAUAACACUCUGUCCCGCAUGGGACGGGGUUAAAAGCUCCGGCGGUGAAGGAUGAGCCCGCGGCCUAUCAGCUUGUUGGUGGGGUAAUGGCCUACCAAGGCGACGACGGGUAGCCGGCCUGAGAGGGCGACCGGCCACACUGGGACUGAGACACGGCCCAGACUCCUACGGGAGGCAGCAGUGGGGAAUAUUGCACAAUGGGCGAAAGCCUGAUGCAGCGACGCCGCGUGAGGGAUGACGGCCUUCGGGUUGUAAACCUCUUUCAGCAGGGAAGAAGCGAAAGUGACGGUACCUGCAGAAGAAGCGCCGGCUAACUACGUGCCAGCAGCCGCGGUAAUACGUAGGGCGCAAGCGUUGUCCGGAAUUAUUGGGCGUAAAGAGCUCGUAGGCGGCUUGUCACGUCGGAUGUGAAAGCCCGGGGCUUAACCCCGGGUCUGCAUUCGAUACGGGCUAGCUAGAGUGUGGUAGGGGAGAUCGGAAUUCCUGGUGUAGCGGUGAAAUGCGCAGAUAUCAGGAGGAACACCGGUGGCGAAGGCGGAUCUCUGGGCCAUUACUGACGCUGAGGAGCGAAAGCGUGGGGAGCGAACAGGAUUAGAUACCCUGGUAGUCCACGCCGUAAACGUUGGGAACUAGGUGUUGGCGACAUUCCACGUCGUCGGUGCCGCAGC
RNAcentral lists this ribosomal RNA (781 nucleotides) under Streptomyces griseus. RNAcentral's name for it is "bacterial SSU rRNA". It matches the Rfam family "Bacterial small subunit ribosomal RNA", at positions 57 to 852 of the family's 1533-position model. Lineage: Bacteria; Bacillati; Actinomycetota; Actinomycetes; Kitasatosporales; Streptomycetaceae. The record is from RNAcentral.